GACGAACGCUGGCGGCGUGCUUAACACAUGCCAGUCGAACGGAAAGGCCCUGCGUUUGUGGGGCGCUCGAGUGGCGAACGGGUGAGUAACACGUGAGUAACCUGCCCUUGACUUUGGGAUAACUUCAGGAAACUGGGGCUAAUACCGGAUAGGAGCUCCUGCUGCAUGGUGGGGGUUGGAAAGUUUCGGCGGUUGGGGAUGGACUCGCGGCUUAUCAGCUUGUUGGUGGGGUAGUGGCUUACCAAGGCUUUGACGGGUAGCCGGCCUGAGAGGGUGACCGGCCACAUUGGGACUGAGAUACGGCCCAGACUCCUACGGGAGGCAGCAGUGGGGAAUAUUGCACAAUGGGCGGAAGCCUGAUGCAGCAACGCCGCGUGCGGGAUGACGGCCUUCGGGUUGUAAACCGCUUUCGCCUGUGACGAAGCGUGAGUGACGGUAAUGGGUAAAGAAGCACCGGCUAACUACGUG
This 468-nucleotide ribosomal RNA is filed under the name uncultured bacterium. RNAcentral describes it as "partial 16S ribosomal RNA". It matches the Rfam family "Bacterial small subunit ribosomal RNA", at positions 28 to 507 of the family's 1533-position model. The record is from RNAcentral.